CAUUCAUGGUCCUCGAACUUUAUCAUCAAACUCUGCAGCCACCAUUAGACGAGAAUACCUGUACAUCUCCAGCUGCAAACACACCUUCAACAGAAGUUUUUGCAGAACCUUCGUCAACUAAUACAUAGCCUGUCCUGUCAAGUUCAACUUGGCCUUCCAACAGCUGGCUAUUAGGCAAAUGACCAAUGCCAUAGAACAAGCCUCUUGCCUCAAGUACAAAUUCUUCCCCAGUAUCAAAUUUUCUAGUCAAAAUACCAGACAUCUGCCCUUUAGUAUUGCUAACAACAUCCCCCGCCCCUCUGUAUUGAAGUGCACGGUGAUAUUUGGAUUUCUGAACAAUCUGAAACAUUCGCGAUGAUCAACCUAUCUUGCAUUGCUUUAGAUGCCCUAAGUUGAUCCUUGCGCACAAGCAAAUGAACAUGACGGGCAUACUUGGUUAGGUAUAAUGAUUCCUCUGUAGUUGUAUCACCACCUCCAACAACGGCUAGAACCUGCC
This 496-nucleotide unclassified non-coding RNA is filed under the name Hevea brasiliensis (rubber tree). Lineage: Eukaryota; Viridiplantae; Streptophyta; Magnoliopsida; Malpighiales; Euphorbiaceae. The record is from RNAcentral.